UGGCAGGAAGCAGAGUGCUGGUCUUACACAACACUUUUUGUUGGUGUCAGCAUCAAAGGAAGAACACUGAAGCACGUAGGACAAGGCCUGAUCUUGUAUAACCUGAGUCUUCGGGAAAGAUGGUACAGGAUGCUAGAAGUUAAUGAAAAAAAUAUUUAAAGUACUCAAGAGAAAGUAACUCUAAACCCACAAUUCUAUAUGUUUUUAACAACCAGUCAAAGGGGUAUUGGUAAGGUGGAAGUUGGGCACGUCAUUCCUCAGCUCACAUCAUUUUUAAAACUUUUUUUAAAAACAGCUUUAUUAAGAUACAACUUAAAAAAAUAAAAAAUAAAAAAGAUACAACUUAUAUGUCAUAAAAUUCACCCCUUGUAAGUGUAUAAUUUUGUUAUUUUUAGUAAAUUUAUAGACCUAUGCAACCAUCACCACAAUCCAGUUUUAAAACAUAUCCACCAUCCCAAAAUGUUCCCUUGUUCCACUUUGCAAUUAAUCCCUGCUACUACUAAUACCUCCAAGCUCUAGGCAGCCACGAAUCUAUUUUCUGUCUAAAUUUGCCUUUUCUGGACAUUUCAGAGAGAUGGACUCAUGCAAUCUGUAGUUUUUUUGCAUCUGGCUACUUCCAUAUGGCAUAACAUUUUUGAGAUCCAUCCAUGUUGUAGUAUGGAUUAGCAGUUUGUUCCUUUAUUUAUUUUUAUUUUUUGAGAUGGAGUUUCACUCGUGUUGCCCAGGCUGGAGUGCAAUGGCGUGAUCGCAGCUCACUGCAACCUCCACCUCCCAGAUUCAAGAGAUUCUCCUGCCUCAGCCGCCCGACUAGCUGGGAUUACAGGCAUGUGCCACCACGCCUGGCUAAUUUUCUGUAUUUUUAGUAGAGACAGGGUUUCCCCAUGUUGGCCAGGCUGGUCUUGAACUCCUGACCUCAGGUGAUCCACCCACCUUGGCCUCCGAAAGUUCUGGGAUUACAGGCGUGACCCACUGCACCCAGCUUAGUUUGUUCCUUGUUUAUUGCUGAAUAGUAUGCCAGUGUGUGGACAGGUCACAUUUUGUUAUCUGUGCACUAGCUG
This 1058-nucleotide long non-coding RNA is filed under the name Homo sapiens (human). Its description in RNAcentral is "non-protein coding lnc-PXDC1-14:4". The record is from RNAcentral. Lineage: Eukaryota; Metazoa; Chordata; Mammalia; Primates; Hominidae.